RNAcentral lists this ribosomal RNA (328 nucleotides) under uncultured eukaryote. RNAcentral describes it as "partial 18S ribosomal RNA". It matches the Rfam family "Eukaryotic small subunit ribosomal RNA", at positions 1470 to 1796 of the family's 1831-position model. The record is from RNAcentral.
CCCUUAGAUGUCCUGGGCCGCACGCGCGCUACACUGAUGCAUUCAACGAGCUUAUAACCUUGGCCGAGAGGCCUGGGCAAUCUUGUUAACGUGCAUCGUGAUAGGGAUAGAUUAUUGAAAUUAUUAAUCUUGAACGAGGAAUUCCUAGUAAACGCAGAUCAUCAAUCUGCAUUGAUUACGUCCCUGCCCUUUGUACACACCGCCCGUCACACCUACCGAUUGGAUGGUCCGGUGAAGCCUCGGGAUUGUGGUUCUUGCCGCUUUAUUGUGGCGUGACCGCGAGAACUUGUCUAAACCUUAUCAUCUAGAGGAAGGUGAAGUCGUAACA